GCCACCCGAAGCCUUUCAUUGUGAAUCUGCGGUGACAUCCCCCAAACCUGCCCAGGCAGUGAGCCGGAGCAGCGCGGCCUGUGCUAAUUGAUAGCCGGGGAGUGUGAGGCUUUGCUGCAUGGGCUGGCCCCCUGCUUUGGAUCCGGGGGCUGUGACACCAACGUUACGGAAGACCAACAUAUGAUGGGAAUGAAGGAUAAGGAAAAGAAUGAGAUAUCAGUGGCUACAUUUGGAAAUACUUUAUGGACGACUGUGUCAAUCAGCAGGACAACCAGCACUAUAGGCAAAGGAUAACAUUAUUUAGAAGGUUCAUAUCUGGCACAAAUUCACACUGUUCAUAAAGUGUAAAGAGUGCUAAUUGCUCAUAUUUAUUCUCCAUUAAAGGGACCAAUCAAAUAUUUAUAGACUUAAAUCAUAUUCCUGACUUUUAGAAAGUGAAACUAAUUGAAUUCCUAAAAGCCUUUGUAGAGGCCUUAUUGGGACCCCAUAUUUUGCACUGCGUACCAAAAAGAAUGAAGUUACAACAGUGUAAAUUUUGGGGAGGAUUAAUUGCACAAUUUGCUGCAAACCUAUCUCAUUAUCCAUAAAAUGUGAAAGAGUGCUGAAUGGCUCAUGUAUUUUGCAUUAAAGCAAUCAAAUAAAAAAUCUCCAUUAUC
Molecule: non-coding RNA, 656 nt
Organism: Chiloscyllium plagiosum (whitespotted bambooshark)
Lineage: Eukaryota; Metazoa; Chordata; Chondrichthyes; Orectolobiformes; Hemiscylliidae
Source: RefSeq, a predicted model, not a curated record